UGCCAGCCGCCGCGGUAAUACGGAGGGUGCGAGCGUUAAUCGGAAUCACUGGGCGUAAAGCGUACGUAGGUGGCAAAGUCAGUCAGGCGUGAAAGCCCUCGGCUUAACCAAGGAAGUGCAUUCGAAACUGCAAGACUUGAGAACGGAAGAGGAAAGUGGAAUUCCUAGUGUAGAGGUGAAAUUCGUAGAUAUUAGAAGGAACAUCAGAGGCGAAGGCGGCUUUCUGGUCCGAUACUGACGCUGAGGUACGAAAGCGUGGGGAGCAAACAGGAUUAGAUA
RNAcentral lists this ribosomal RNA (279 nucleotides) under uncultured bacterium. Its description in RNAcentral is "partial 16S ribosomal RNA". It matches the Rfam family "Bacterial small subunit ribosomal RNA", at positions 506 to 784 of the family's 1533-position model. The record is from RNAcentral.